UUACAAUUGAUGGAAUUGAGUACUUUGUUUAUGGAAAAUAACAAAAGUCAGCGAGGUUAGAGAUGAGAGUGCAGCAGGUAUGGCGAGACAAAGUAUUGAAGAAGAAGAGCAAAUUGAAAGUGACGUGCACACUGUUCCACUUAAAGUUCUUGGAUCAUGUUAUUCAGGUGAAAGACAGAAAAUAUUAGAGGAGGCGUUCGAGUACCUAAAUGAGUAUAAUAGGCCAGUCUAUGUGCAGUUGGAAAAAGAACCAGACAGUUUA
Molecule: non-coding RNA, 262 nt
Organism: Paramuricea clavata
Lineage: Eukaryota; Metazoa; Cnidaria; Anthozoa; Malacalcyonacea; Plexauridae
Source: the annotation of a GenBank genome assembly